GACGAACGCUGGCGGCGUGCUUAACACAUGCAAGUCGAACGGAAAGGCCCUGCUUUUGUGGGGUGCUCGAGUGGCGAACGGGUGAGUAACACGUGAGUAACCUGCCCUUGACUUUGGGAUAACUUCAGGAAACUGGGGCUAAUACCGGAUAGGAGCUCCUGCUGCAUGGUGGGGGUUGGAAAGUUUCGGCGGUUGGGGAUGGACUCGCGGCUUAUCAGCUUGUUGGUGGGGUAGUGGCUUACCAAGGCUUUGACGGGUAGCCGGCCUGAGAGGGUGACCGGCCACCUUGGGACUGAGAUACCGCCCCGACUCCUACGGGAGGCAGCAGUGGGGAAUAUUGCACAAUGGGCGGAAGCCUGAUGCAGCAACGCCGCGUGCGGGAUGACGGCCUUCGGGUUGUAAACCGCUUUCGCCUGUGACGAAGCGUGAGUGACGGUAAUGGGUAAAGAAGCACCGGCUAACUACGUG
This 468-nucleotide ribosomal RNA is filed under the name uncultured bacterium. RNAcentral describes it as "partial 16S ribosomal RNA". It matches the Rfam family "Bacterial small subunit ribosomal RNA", at positions 28 to 507 of the family's 1533-position model. The record is from RNAcentral.